CAGUAGCCGCGGUAAUACGUAGGGUGCAAGCGUUAAUCGGAAUUACUGGGCGUAAAGCGUGCGCAGGCGGUUUGUUAAGACAGAUGUGAAAUCCCCGGGCUCAACCUGGGAACUGCAUUUGUGACUGGCAGGCUAGAGUAUGGCAGAGGGGGGUGGAAUUCCGCGUGUAGCAGUGAAAUGCGUAGAUAUGCGGAGGAACACCGAUGGCGAAGGCAGCCCCCUGGGCCAAUACUGACGCUCAUGCACGAAAGCGUGGGGAGCAAACAGGAUUAGAUACCACUGUAGUCCCUGUCUCUUAUAC
This 301-nucleotide ribosomal RNA is filed under the name uncultured bacterium. RNAcentral's name for it is "partial 16S ribosomal RNA". It matches the Rfam family "Bacterial small subunit ribosomal RNA", at positions 509 to 807 of the family's 1533-position model. The record is from RNAcentral.